CAGGCCCGCCUAUUCAG
RNAcentral lists this transfer RNA (17 nucleotides) under Anolis distichus (bark anole). RNAcentral describes it as "partial tRNA-Asx". The record is from RNAcentral. Lineage: Eukaryota; Metazoa; Chordata; Lepidosauria; Squamata; Anolidae.